This 1555-nucleotide long non-coding RNA is filed under the name Helianthus annuus (common sunflower). Its description in RNAcentral is "hypothetical non coding rna". The record is from RNAcentral. Lineage: Eukaryota; Viridiplantae; Streptophyta; Magnoliopsida; Asterales; Asteraceae.
AGGCGGGAUAAUUUUUUAAGGGAUCCGCGCGUUUCAAAAAUUGAUUAAUUAGGGUUUUAAUCAAAGAACUCCUCUACCAAAAUUCUAAAUCGCUGCUCCCCCUCCGCUCCCUUACGUCUGAUUUGAUUGAAGAACUCAGCCUCUUGCAGAACAAACACAAGCAAUUUCACCUCUCAGGGUGAACCGAUAGAAAAUUGAAGGGCCAUCAUCUGGUUUGAUCUUAAAAUCUUGUGUUGCUGAUUGAUGAAGGUACGCUGUUUUUGCCCUAAGUUUACCCCAAUGGAUUAGUUGACUCUUAAAUCGGUUCUUAUUUGGUGAUUUGGAGUGUUUCGUUUAAGGGCUUUGUGUUGUUGUUUAGAAAAUUUUGAUGGGUGGUUGUGUAAUUUAGGCGUUUCGAGUGGAUCAGAAAUUACUUAUAUCAAUGGAUUGUUAUGGUUUAAUUUGUUUGUUAGUUAUCUGCAGGGUUUCGUAAAUCACAGAUGGCUUUAUGAGCUGUAGUGAUAAAUUUUAAGCAUAAUCUUGAAUGAACUUACAUAAUGGUGGUUAUAUGAUGUAAUUUUGAUGGGACUUGCAAAUGGAAAUGGGACAAUGUCGAAGAAUGUAUGUCUGGUAUCAGUAGCCAGUAGCCAUAUUAAUGGAUUGGAUUAAUACAAUCAUAGUAUUUUACUUGAUUCAUGUUAAAAACGGGUUUAGCCGUUCAAUAUUAGUCGCCAACUCAAAUGGUUCAUUUAUCAUGUCAGUUUUAUAUAUGCACAUUUAUAGGAAUCAAUCAUGAACUCCCCUUUAACAACCUUAUAGAGGUCAGACCUGCUGGGUAACAGAUCUAAAUAAGAAAGGUUUUUAUAUGAAUGCAGUUAGGUCGACCAAGAAACACCUUUUUGUUUAUUCUUUAUUUAUUUUUAUUUUUUUAUUACUUUGUUUUUAGCCCAUCCUAGAAUGAACCCGUCCUUUGAGAUUCCCCUCCCCAUGCUUUCUGAGGUGACUCUAAUAAAAAAGAUGUGUUUCUAAAUGGUUUAUUAUUUUAUAAUAUGGGUUUGACGAGUUCUUUUGGAUCGCAGUGGAUUAUGAAGUGGUUGUUUUGGAAUUGCAAACAUGGUUCACAAAUUAUGAUAGAUCCUGCUGCGGCUGUUUGAUGAGCUUGUUCAAGCCAGACAUGGGUCUGUGAAUGGUUCCAACUGCAAGGAAUUGGGAGGGCUAAGAAAUGUUGAUGGUUUCAUAGUUGGUGGAGCCUCUCUCAAGAUUGAAAAGUUGAACUUAGUUAUCAAGGAGCUCGUUAAGGAAAAUAAUGAAGAAAAAGAAAGGCUAAAUGGAAUUAUUGCCGGGUUGUUGGCUGAAAAAGAAAAAUAUAAGGUGGAUAAAGAUGCUAUGCUUGAUACGAUGUCACAAAUUGAAGCUAUGUUAACAAGUAAAAUUUGAAGAUUGGAUACAAACACUUGGUUUUGAAUGUUUAUCGUAUUACGAUUUUUUAGUUAUUUGAUGUUAUAGCUGGUAUUUCUAUUAGAAUGUAUUAUACGCUUUUGAUACACAUAUGUUUUAUAUAAUUUUGGGUUUUCGU